RNAcentral lists this small RNA (398 nucleotides) under Pongo abelii (Sumatran orangutan). RNAcentral describes it as "processed transcript". Lineage: Eukaryota; Metazoa; Chordata; Mammalia; Primates; Hominidae. The record is from RNAcentral.
CCCAGAAGUGAUUUUGGAUGGGAAAUGAGCAACAGACAAGUUUGCACGCACCUGUUGCAUACAAGAUGCAGGCUAUGAAUACAGAGAGCUCUUCGGCCCACUCACUGCCCUUAGGGGCUUGGGGUGGGGUGCAGAGAGGUUCUUGGGCACACUCUAUAGCCAUACUGGACAGGAACCAGGUGCCCCGUGUAGGCAUCGUUGGUCGGUUUACCGUCAGAGAUGGCGCAUCUCGCUGCAUCCCCCGAGAGUACACCGGUUGCUCUAGCCACCUGCGGCCCGCCCAUCUGCGCUAGCUGGCCUUCAUGCUCUUGAUCGUCUUUCCUUUGUAUUGGAGAAGGACUGGGUCAGAGAUCUGUUGGAGAGAGAGAAUAAAGAGAUUAUUUUUCAUUAUUUUUAAA